ACUCAAGAAAGAGGAAGAGGCGGGCUUUUCCGACCCCCACGCCCCUGGGAUGGUAAAGCUGCAGCCCACCUCGUCCUGGGGCAGAGUCUCCUUGCCUGCCUGCUUGCAUCGCUCACCAGCGUCCUAUCCUAACACCUCUGUUUCGUGCCCAUCACUUUGUCUCUCGCUGAAUUCCUUCUGCGUGGAGACAUAGAGAACCUCAACCUCAGUGAGUCCAGACGCAGGGGAUGUAUGAUUGUCAGCACCUCCACUUUACAGAAGAGGACACCUGGGUAUGAUGAUAAGCUGCCCAAGGUCCCAUAUCUGGUGCUUCAUAAUCCUGGCAAAGCCACUAAGCUGAGCAGAGCUGCAGAAAUUCCCUGGCUUUCCUACUGGAAGAUGUCGAUCAAUGAGGGCGCUCGCGGCCUUUGAUGUCAGGCAUCCACGCCCGCUUCUGUAAAGACUUUCGGCUCCACAAGAGAACGGGAAGUCACUGUGAAGAAAGAGGCAGGCGAUGUAACCGGAAAAGCGCGGGUUUGAUGUCAAACAGACCUGCGUGGUUCCACCGCUUUCCGACUGUGUGACACCUCCCCCCACCCCCACCGGCCCAGUUGCUCUUUGAACCCAAGUCUUGGAAAAUGGAACCAAUAAUACCUGUUCUUCAAGACUGUUUCUGCUGGAAGCUCCAAGAUUCAUCUGAAGGCGUGAUCACAUCCUCGAUGUUGAGUGGACCAUGAGCCGGCUGCCAGAGACAGGGUUCCAAGCCGGGCCAGGCCCAUCCCAAUGCCCACCCGAAAAGACGGGACAGGGGAAAGAAAGAAACAAAAUCCUGGGGCUCCAUUGGCUUUCUUUUUGACUCCAGCUGAAGUUGCUGCAUAGUGUGGCCUUGCCAGUCCUCGCCUUGAAAAGGCUGGAAGCGACUGACGUGAUGGAUCAUCUAAUCCCACAGCCUCAUUUUGCAGAGGACCCCGAGCCUCGACUUGGCCAAGGUCACACAGCUGGGCCACACCCAUGGCGUAUGGUUUUCAUAUGGAAUCGGAGCUGCAGUUGCCGGCCUAUGCCACAGCCACAGCAAGGUAGGAUCUGAACCAAGUCUUUGACCUACACCACAUCUCAUGGCAAUUCCAGAUCCCUGGACCCACUGAGUGAGGCCAGGGAUUGAACACGCACCCUUAUGGAUACUAGUUGGAUCACAACGGAACUCCCUGAAAAAUCAAGGUCUUUAAAGCAAUUCAUCAACCCCACCAACAUCUUGGCAUAAGAAAAUUGAUUCUGUAAGUCAAAAGAACUUAUAACAUGGUAUAUUGGGAGGAUGGCAGGGCUUGGUAAGUGGUAGCAACGCAGCUGGUAGAUUUUUCUUUGUUGUGUCCUUGUCCUUACGCUCUUUUUAGCCACAUUUUCAUUCAGGAUUCUUGGGUUGGAAGCAACAGAAAUGGACUCUUUUGGCCUUAAGCAAAAAGAAAAUUUGUUGAAAGGGCAUGGAGGAGUUCAUAGGAUUGACUAGAAGUUUGGAGAAGUAGGCUCAGGAGUCAAGGCAUUUAUAGAGGAGGGUAGGGUAGAGAGGUGAUAAAAAUAAUGCAACAGUCUUAUUUGGAAAUUGUACUGGCAUGUAAGAGUUUCAUCUUUCCUCCUCCCUUCCCCUCUCUCUCUUUCUGCCACUUCAUUCGAGAUUCCAAUUUCAGCGAAGGAGCAUCCAAUUGGCCUGUCUUGGUCAGAUUCCCACCACCCCCAUGGUUAGGGGAACACAGCAUAUUCGAAAUGGCAUUCCCACGAGGUACAUUCCAUGGAAAAGUAAUACCACAAAGAAAAUACGGACACAGUUAUCAAAGGAAGAUAAAACAGGUGCUGGGUAGCCAACAAUAGCCUAUUUCCACUAUAUCCUUUAAAAAAAAUCCCAGUAACUCUUCUAUGAUUACUGAUGUUUCAGGAGAGAAAUUUAACGAUGGAAGAGUGUAUACAUAGUGAUGAAAAGAAUGGGAGGAUUUAUAAGAUACAAGUCAUUUUCUUUGAGUUGUGGGACAAUGGUUGGGUCCAUUUUUCUUCUGUUGUUUUUUCCUAUAGAGCACAUUUAUAACCUUUUAAAAGUAAACUGUAUUUUCUACUUUAAGAUGAGUGAAAUGAGGGGGGAGUGUCCUUUUGACUGGGGACAUAGUCACUAGUUAGUCUAUGUUAAAAACAGAAGCAUACGUUCCUCUCGAGGGGCAACAGUGUUCUUAUACAUUAAACUCUCAACAGAAACCAAAAGAACCACCACCAAAAAAAUCCCACCCAGUUUGGAAAGGACUUGUGCUUGUGGGUCGGGGGCAGAAGGAAGCAAUUUCCCUCCAUUUUCUGCCUGAGCAGGCCUUUUGCACUUUGAUAUUCGUUUCACUAAUAAGGUGUUUCAUUAUUUCUCCCACAAAAAGAGCUGGUGCUGUUAUGAGAUGCUGUUGAAGACUCUGGUUUGCCCAGAUGUGCCGCAGUGAAAACAGCCUUUCUCUGACGUGCAUGACUUGUGAGGAUGAUGGGACCUGUGGGAAGAGGGGAUCCUUUUUCAGAGUUUGGAAAGAGAGGCAAAAUAACGCCAUCUGCCCUGCAUGGAUGACAGAAACACGUUCUUCCCUAAUCAGUGGGUCACUCACUUCCGCACUAUGUUGCAGGGAAGCAUCAUCUGAUUCCAAGCCUAAGGCUGGGUCAUCCGCGGCACUGACUUCUCCCGACCCUUCUCCGAGCUUCCCGUGCCAGUUUUCAUCAUCAAAUUUCUCUGCUCCCUUGGACCAGCGGAAAAGAAGUUAUGAGCUCUCUCCAUCAUUCGCCGGUCUCUUCGGCCCUUCCUCCUUUGAAGUUUUCUUAUUCGGGGUCUUUUUUUCGCUUCUUCUCCAUGUUUCAUCCUCUCUCACUGUAACCUUUUUAUCUCUGGAGAGUUCUCUCUGUGCCUCUGGGCCCUUCUCUUUCUAGUUGGUUCUCAGAACCCAUUCUGGGAUUCUAUUUCAGUCCAUCCGUCUCUCCAACAGACCACGGGUGAAACCAGGGCCGGUAAUCAGUCCCAGCUGCUGGAGGCGUCCGCUCUGGGUCGGCCCCACGUUUGUGGGCUGAUGUUUUGCUUCCCAUAAUGCUCUGGGAGUUCUGCUGCUCAGAGCUUGGCUUGUGCUUUUUCUUCUCCUGCCAAGGGGCCCUGCUUCCAAAACCCAGAUUAGAAAACAUGG
Molecule: long non-coding RNA, 3164 nt
Filed under: Sus scrofa (pig)
Lineage: Eukaryota; Metazoa; Chordata; Mammalia; Artiodactyla; Suidae
Description: lncRNA (ENSSSCG00050014524.1)
Source: RNAcentral